GAAUAUGCAGCUCACAAGCCAUAUUGUUUAGGAAGGGUUCUUCUCUGCAUUUACUUUAUUUUAUUGUCCCGUUUCUAUUUUUAUUUUUUGAGAUGGAUCGUGCCAAGUUGCCCAGGCUGCCCUCACACUCCUGCUCCUCUUGCCCCAGCCUCCUGAGCACCUGAACCACAGGUCCAGCGUCACCACACGGCUCUGGUUCCACUUCUCUACGGGGUGCUCCCCAGCAUGAUGUCCCUUCGGUCAUCACCAGAGUUUUCAAAGCCUGGGUCACCCUCCUCUUACAGACGAGGGAACGGCGGUCUGAGAAGUUUACCACCUUUCCGUGAAGGAUGGCCUGAGUCCACAUCUGCUCAUCUGGCUCCAGCUCUUGUGGUCUUGGGUUCCUCCGUCCUCCAUCGUCUCUCAGAGUCACUGCAGGGCCAGCGUUGGAUCUCUCUGUGGCUGCAGAGCAAGCAGCACCAUGCAAUGUCAGGCAAAGGCCAAAUUGGACCUUCAGAUGCCACUGGGCUUUUCCACUGCCG
This 521-nucleotide long non-coding RNA is filed under the name Fukomys damarensis (Damara mole-rat). Its description in RNAcentral is "lncRNA (ENSFDAG00000030356.1)". Lineage: Eukaryota; Metazoa; Chordata; Mammalia; Rodentia; Bathyergidae. The record is from RNAcentral.